This 433-nucleotide ribosomal RNA is filed under the name uncultured bacterium. RNAcentral describes it as "partial 16S ribosomal RNA". It matches the Rfam family "Bacterial small subunit ribosomal RNA", at positions 29 to 507 of the family's 1533-position model. The record is from RNAcentral.
AACGAACGCUGGCGGCAGGCCUAACACAUGCAAGUCGAGCGGACCCUUCGGGGUUAGCGGCGGACGGGGGAGUAACGCGUGGGAAUAUGCCCUUCUCUACGGAAUAGUCCUGGGAAACUGGGGGUAAUACCGUAUACGCCCUUUGGGGGAAAGAUUUAUCGGGGAAGGAUUAGCCCGCGUUGGAUUAGGUAGUUGGUGGGGUAAUGGCCUACCAAGCCGACGAUCCAUAGCUGGUUUGAGAGGAUGAUCAGCCACACUGGGACUGAGACACGGCCCAGACUCCUACGGGAGGCAGCAGUGGGGAAUCUUAGACAAUGGGGGCAACCCUGAUCGAGCCAUGCCGCGUGAGUGAUGAAGGCCUUAGGGUUGUAAAGCUCUUUCAGCUGGGAAGAUAAUGACGGUACCAGCAGAAGAAGCCCCGGCUAACUCCGUG